UCAAGAACCAUCCGCAAUGCACGAAAGUGUGACGGUGCGACGCCGCGUGGUUGAUGAAGCACUUCGGUGCGUAAAGGCCUUUUAUGAGGGAAGAAAUUUUGACGGUACCUCAUGAAUAAGAGGCUGCUAAUCUCGUGCCAGCAGCAGCGGUAAUACGAGAGCCUCAAGCGUUAUCCGGAAUUAUUGGGCGUAAAGGGUGUGUAGGUGGACAUGUUAGUCCUGUGUGAAAGCCUGUUGCUCAACAACAGAUCCGCAUGGGAAACGGCAUGACUGCGAGGGUGCGAGGGGUGAAUGGAACUCAUGGUGUAGGGGUGAAAUCCGUUGAUAUCAUGGGGAACGCCAAAAGCGAAGGCAAUUCACUGGCGCAUACCUGACACUGAAACACGAAAGCCAGGGUAGCGAAUGGGAUUAGAUACCCCCGUAGUCCCUGAGCGGGCUGGCAAGGCGCAU
RNAcentral lists this ribosomal RNA (450 nucleotides) under uncultured bacterium. RNAcentral's name for it is "bacterial SSU rRNA". It matches the Rfam family "Bacterial small subunit ribosomal RNA", at positions 355 to 825 of the family's 1533-position model. The record is from RNAcentral.